CUGGACCGUGUUAACAAGGUGCUCUCCUCAAGGAAGGUACUAAGCACUGUGAGUACGUGUCUCUGUGUACGGGGUACUUCACUUCAGCAGCAGCUGGACACUUGCCACAAGACCAUACAAGGCAUCAGGGAUCCUCAGAGUUGGAUCGAGAGAAUGCCAGGAUUUGGUUGGUGCCAGAGGCAAGUCUUCGUCCCCUGUGUUGUGUGUUUCUGGGACGUGAUCUGCCAAGACUGAUGUGGACCAAUGCCUAACCCAG
RNAcentral lists this long non-coding RNA (256 nucleotides) under Mustela putorius furo (domestic ferret). Its description in RNAcentral is "lncRNA (ENSMPUG00000023949.1)". Lineage: Eukaryota; Metazoa; Chordata; Mammalia; Carnivora; Mustelidae. The record is from RNAcentral.